CGGGGGUUACGGCAUGAGGCAAUAGUUCAACUGAAUCUCUGUGAUUAAGCAAAUUUCAUGUCUUUCGCUCCUAUCUGACGACCCCUG
Malus domestica (apple) is the source of this 87-nucleotide small nucleolar RNA. RefSeq annotates it as small nucleolar RNA snR60/Z15/Z230/Z193/J17. Lineage: Eukaryota; Viridiplantae; Streptophyta; Magnoliopsida; Rosales; Rosaceae. The record is from RefSeq and is a predicted model, not a curated record.